AACCACUCCAACCAAAGGAUCUCUGUCCCCUGGAACCCGUAGCCAUAAAUAUAAGAGCUCAAAGAAGUGUUUAAUGACAGAAAUGGUCACGGAGCCAACAACGGCACCUACAGAAAGUGUAUAUCCUGCCCUGGUGGGCUGUAAAGCAUCUGUCGACAUAAUUCUGCCUCAAAUUACUCCAAACUCUUGGACAAGAGGGUUAGGACAUCUGAUUCGAGCAAAGAAUAUCAGGACAGUGGGCGACUUGAGUUCUCUCACC
Molecule: long non-coding RNA, 259 nt
Organism: Protobothrops mucrosquamatus (brown spotted pit viper)
Lineage: Eukaryota; Metazoa; Chordata; Lepidosauria; Squamata; Viperidae
Exons: 3
Source: RefSeq, a predicted model, not a curated record